GCCGAACGAAGAAGUUAAAAAUACAUUGUCAGUUGUAUAUUGCUUCCACAGAAGGAAAUAAUCUUUCCUAAUAUUGAGGGGCUCAUUUUUUUUAUAGCAAUGAUUGAUCUCCAUAGUCAAUACUGCAUUCUUGUUAGCUUCGAAGCGGUUAAUGUAGGAAUGAAAAUAUGAGUACGACGAGUGAAUUGUCCUCGGCCACAAUCUCCCAUAUUUGAUUCCCCAGUUAUCCUAGGCCCAAGAAAUACGUAAAUUGUACACGGCAUGAAAUAGGAGAUUAAAGAAUUGUGGUUGUCUGAACAAAACAAAUUUAUAGCAUAAUGAAAAAGGAUGUAUAUUCAUUAAAUAACAUAGCGAACGAGAACAAUAUUUUUCCCAAAACUUGUUUUGCAGUGAGUCGAAGCUUAGGAUGACGUUCCUACAUCUGUCGUACAAGACUCUUGGCUCUUUCUCAAAUGCUUAGCCAUGGUUCCCUCUCAAAGUUUACUUUCCCUCGUACAAUGACCUGAGCAACACCUUGUUCAGAUUCUGUGUAAUAACUUGAUUUAGAUGGAUGAUUAAUCAUCGUUGCAAACUUGAUUGAAAAGAAAAAUGGGUAAAAUGCAUCAUUCAAACGACAUUUAAAAUCCUCACCGGAAAGUACAAAACUAAAAACCAAGCAUCAUUCUGAAGUAUUCAAAUUGUUUUAUGUAAUUCUAAAGCUCCAUGAAAUUGAUACUUGUUUUGGCAAAUAUAAUGUCUCCUAAUAGAACACUCCAACAGUAAUUUCCAAUUACACAUAGCAAUUUAACACCGUAAUAUUGGAUGAUGAUAGAUUGUAAUGAAUGAGAUUAAUGACAUAAUAUGAAGUAAUAAAGAUCACAGCAAGAAACAAAAUUGAAAGUAAGAAAGAACAAAGACAUUUAAUUGCAGAGGAACGAUUUAUAUUAACAGACAAUAUGGAGAG
Molecule: long non-coding RNA, 943 nt
Filed under: Olea europaea subsp. europaea
Lineage: Eukaryota; Viridiplantae; Streptophyta; Magnoliopsida; Lamiales; Oleaceae
Source: RNAcentral